CAUUAAAGCUGUGCUUACUCUUUAACCACUGUGCACACUAUUAGAUUAAUUAAUUAGACUUGAGUGUGCUCCUUACAAACCCCAGGGAGUUCACCAAUAAAUAGUGUCUAGACAUGGUGGCUAUGGAACCCAGAAGGAGGUCAUCACAGAGUUCACUCUUUGGCUUCAACUCUGGGGUGAGGCUGAUGGUUGGAAGGCAAGGAUUUGGUUAUGAGUUCUCCACAUGCCUAGAGCCUAAGAUCCCACCGCACCCAAAUUUAUCUGAAAGUUCCCACAUGUUAGGAUGAUUUGGAGUGGAGAGAUGGCCCUCAGUGGGGCUCCCAACACAGGAAGCUUCACUGUCACUCAAAUUGACAAAGGACCACAAAUCUACCCUUUGAAGCUAUAUCUCCAUGAA
Molecule: long non-coding RNA, 397 nt
Filed under: Bos taurus (domestic cattle)
Lineage: Eukaryota; Metazoa; Chordata; Mammalia; Artiodactyla; Bovidae
Description: long non-coding RNA NONBTAT005951
Source: RNAcentral